CCUACGGGAGGCAGCAGUGGGGAAUAUUGCACAAUGGGCGAAAGCCUGAUGCAGCAACGCCGCGUGAACGAUGAAGGUCUUCGGAUCGUAAAGUUCUGUUGCAGGGGAAGAUAAUGACGGUACCCUGUGAGGAAGCCCCGGCUAACUACGUGCCAGCAGCCGCGGUAAUACGUAGGGGGCUAGCGUUAUCCGGAUUUACUGGGCGUAAAGGGUGCGUAGGUGGUCCUUCAAGUCGGUGGUUAAAGGCUACGGCUCAACCGUAGUAAGCCGCCGAAACUGGAGGACUUGAGUGCAGGAGAGGAAAGUGGAAUUCCCAGUGUAGCGGUGAAAUGCGUAGAUAUUGGGAGGAACACCAGUAGCGAAGGCGGCUUUCUGGACUGCAACUGACACUGAGGCACGAAAGCGUGGGUAGCAAACAGGAUUAGAUACCCCAGUAGUC
This 439-nucleotide ribosomal RNA is filed under the name uncultured Peptostreptococcus sp. RNAcentral describes it as "bacterial SSU rRNA". It matches the Rfam family "Bacterial small subunit ribosomal RNA", at positions 338 to 795 of the family's 1533-position model. The record is from RNAcentral. Lineage: Bacteria; Bacillati; Bacillota; Clostridia; Peptostreptococcales; Peptostreptococcaceae.